Triticum dicoccoides is the source of this 3033-nucleotide long non-coding RNA. RefSeq lists it as uncharacterized. The transcript is spliced from 8 exons. The record is from RefSeq and is a predicted model, not a curated record. Lineage: Eukaryota; Viridiplantae; Streptophyta; Magnoliopsida; Poales; Poaceae.
CGUUCCCAGUCGUGUGCGAUGGCUAGGGUUUGUCUCACUCCUUUCUCUCCCUCGCUCCCUUGCGUCGCCGCCGCCACCGCCGCCGCUCCCUCCCAUUCUCAGCCCGUGCUCUUGCCUCUCUUCCUCACCUCCCUUGCGCCACCACCCGUCGGGAAGCACCGCGGCCGCUGUUGCUCCGCGCCGCUGCUCCUGAGCCGAGCUCCUACGUCGGCAUCACCGUGAGGAGCAUGGCCUGCUGAGACGGCCGUCCAUGUCGCCGUUGCGGCCGUUCUUCGCGCCAUCGGUGGAUUGGGUGAACCCUAGCCGCCCCUCUCUCCCUCUCUCCCUCUCUCCUUCUCAGCCUGUGCUCUGUCCUCUCUUCCUCGCCUCCCCUCGCCGCCACCCGUCGGGAAGCGUUGCGGCUGCUCCUCCGCGCCACUCCUCCUCCUCCCGGAUGAGUGUGCCGUUGCGCCAUCGAAGGAAGGGGCGCCAGGAGCCAAUGGCAAGGAGGCCUCCCUUGUGCCAGCCCCUCGCGGCCAUGAAGGACGGCUGAGCCAUCAGGAGCGGCGGUGGUGGCCUGAUAUGGACGCACCUGUGGCUUCCCGUGGUGCUCCACUUGUGCUCCCUCCUCGUCACCCAGGACCUGGAACGCACCGACGGAUCUCAUGGAGGCCAAACGGAUCCCGGUUCGGUUGUUCCGAUGCGUGAUGACGCGAUGUUCUUCCCAAAAUUGAUUAUCUCGUGUUAGUUACUGCCUACAGGCUUGUACGCAGUCUGCUGCCAACACCUCCUCGCGUGUGCGACACCUCCAAUUCCAGAAGUCACAAGCUCGGCUCUCAAAGGAUCGAGCAGAGGCAGGGCCUCAGCGACCGGAGGCAGCCGGCAGCGGCUCGGCGCGGCAACUACCGGAUCGACAGAAGAUUGAGUGCACAUUGAGUUCAUACAUUCAGGUUGUUGCGGCCAGCACGACACCGGUAGUUUCUCUACAAAUGAGAAGGUUACCAAUGGCCGUGGGAAUAGCUCAAUUGGCUAAUCCAGGGGGUGUGAGCACAUCUUCGUUGUCCUCUGCAGUGACAAGGUUUCUGUGAAGAACAGGCAGGUUAAAGCCAAGAGCAACUACAACAUUGAGAAGCCCUUCAUUUACCUUGCAAGGAAGUUGGGAGCUGGCUGGCACAAAACUAAGCCUGUGGCUACAACCACUGCUUGAUGACAAUGACAAUCUGAUCGAGUAGAUCGAUCAUGAGUUUUAUCAUACUUUGAGCCAGAGUUUAUGAUGUAGAUGCAAGUACUUGCCUUGCCUAUUAUAUUUUGGCAGGUUAUUACAACCAUAGAGUUUUAAGGUGUUUCCGCUCUGUUUCACGUUUUACAGUAAAUACAUGUUAAUCCAAAAAUUGUUAUUUAGUGUUGAUGGGCAAUAUUUGCAUUUUUUCGCAAAAAAUUGUGUCUCUCUUGUCUCCCCCACUCUCCUUUCUUUCCUCAACAUUCCAUCCCAAAUCAAGAGGUAAACCGUCCCAACCCCUUUCAAGUGAUUAUCUAUAUGCCACCACAUUCGGUCAGUCAACAUUCAUACUUGGCAGGGAGUCUUCGAUGGUUCGUCUGCCUCAUCGGCGUUCAACAGGGGUGCGAAGAGAUCCUGACCAGCUCAACGGACAUCCCCGCUCACUCCUCUGCAACGAUUUUUAAGCUAUUAUGGUACGGCAUUGGUGUCAUCGCGAAAAAGAUUCUGAAACUAACUCCUAAAGAUCUCAAACAGGGACAUGGAAAGUAUAUGCUGUCAAAAUAUUAUUCCUAGAAGAUGUCAGCAAAUCCAGUCUGGUACAAGGCAAUAGUAAGUUUUGGUGUACAUUGUGGUAGUUACUUGUAUUUUGAUCUAUGGUGGUGUUCGAGGCCAUAGAAUACAUUAUUAUUCAGUUUUUCUUAGUAAAUCUAAGAUUCUCCCUAAAUUUUAUCUACUACAAUGGCUUUGAAAAGUUAGUGUUCUCUGAAAUAUUGUUGGUUUUGUUAAAUAGGUGGCCCUCUUAGCAUGGCUAUGGGAGUACUCAAGACAGCCUUUCCCUUCAAGAGAUCGUGCAAGAGUUUAUUUUGUUUUAUUUUGAAAGAUUAUGAUGUCUUUCCCUUGAAGGAUUAUGAUGUCUUUCAAAUCGAUCAUGUUCUGGCUGUUAUGGCAUAUUUCUGAUCAAACAUGGUCUCAUUUGCUGCAAGGAGCCUUAAAGAUGCCCUUGGUCAUAUGUUAAUAAAUUUAACAUGUAUUAGAAAAGAAUAGCAUGUAGGUUGAUGAUAUUGUCUUUCAAAAUUGAUACUUAGAAUAAUAGUGUACCGUCAAAAUUAUAGCUUGGUCUUACCAUGUCACCUGGUCUAAAUUUAGUGUGUACAUCACUUUUUUGUUUUCAGUAAGUUUCUAGCAUUUCUACAUGCAUCUCUCUGUAGCCUAGACAUAGUAAACUACUGAUGCUAUUCCAAACACAAGCUCAAGCAAGUUCAAUAAAUUAUAUAUUUUUAUUAGUAUAAUCAGCAUGAGAUACACCUUGAUUUCAUCACUUGGUUUACUGUCUGCAUAUUUGUUUCAAUGCAGGUACCAUCAAUGUCCUAGAAGUUGUAGCUUCCAGCCUUUAGUAACUACACAAAAACUGCCAAAGCUUCAGAGCCAUCAUGUGAGUAUGAGUAAACACAGGUCGAGUUGCAAGAGGACCCUCUCAUGGCCUAUUUCAGUUGGGAACUUGUAUUAAGAUGUACUUGAGCUACAUAAAGUUUGAGGGUUAAUUUUCGAUGGAUUUGUAUGCCUUGAUCAGGUAUUAGGAUCAUGGUUAUUUGUGCUAUAUGUAUAGAGGCACCUCUUUAUUGGAAAAAAAGUAUAGAUGCACCUAUGAUAUAGUGGAGAUUGAUGAGCAGCACCACAUCCAAGUGAACCUGAGUGGGAACCUGUUUCCACCGAGAGACUACCGGGACUUUGAUGCUAGCUAGCUACUUCACUUCACAAUCUCUGCAAACUACUAUUAAUUGUAUGAAUCCCUUUGUCUAUAUAAUUGCUGAACUACCAUAUUUGAUUUGUGACAA